Molecule: non-coding RNA, 28 nt
Filed under: Rattus norvegicus (Norway rat)
Lineage: Eukaryota; Metazoa; Chordata; Mammalia; Rodentia; Muridae
Source: RNAcentral
UUGGAGACACGAUGAAUGACCCAGGUUC